UGACCUCGGAUCAGUAGGGAUACCCGCUGAACUUAGCAUAUCAAUAAGCGGAAG
Molecule: ribosomal RNA, 54 nt
Filed under: Umbilicaria dendrophora
Lineage: Eukaryota; Fungi; Ascomycota; Lecanoromycetes; Umbilicariales; Umbilicariaceae
Description: partial 28S ribosomal RNA
Source: RNAcentral